UACAGAGGUCCCGAGCGUUGGUUCGGAGUUCACUGGGCGUAAAGGGUGCGUAGGUGGUUGAGGUAAGUCGGAUGUGAAAUCUCCGAGCUCAAACUCGGAAAUGGCAUUGGAAACUACCUUGCUCGGAGGGUUGGAGGGGGGACGUGGAAUGCUUGGUGUAGCAGUGAAAUGCGUAGAUAUCAAGACGGAACACCAAGUGGCGAAGGCGAGGUCCCUGGACAAUUCCUGACACUGAGGCACGAAAGCUAGGGGAGCAAACAGG
RNAcentral lists this ribosomal RNA (262 nucleotides) under uncultured bacterium. RNAcentral's name for it is "partial 16S ribosomal RNA". It matches the Rfam family "Bacterial small subunit ribosomal RNA", at positions 524 to 776 of the family's 1533-position model. The record is from RNAcentral.